This 594-nucleotide ribosomal RNA is filed under the name uncultured beta proteobacterium. RNAcentral's name for it is "bacterial SSU rRNA". It matches the Rfam family "Bacterial small subunit ribosomal RNA", at positions 9 to 600 of the family's 1533-position model. The record is from RNAcentral. Lineage: Bacteria; Pseudomonadati; Pseudomonadota; Betaproteobacteria.
GAGUUUGAUCAUGGCUCAGAUUGAACGCUGGCGGCAUGCCUUACACAUGCAAGUCGAACGGUAACGCGGGGCAACCUGGCGACGAGUGGCGAACGGGUGAGUAACGCAUCGGAACGUGCCCAGUAGUGGGGGAUAGCCCGGCGAAAGCCGGAUUAAUACCGCAUACGACCUACGGGUGAAAGCGGGGGACCGUAAGGCCUCGCGCUAUUGGAGCGGCCGAUGUCAGAUUAGGUAGUUGGUGGGGUAAAAGCCUACCAAGCCUACGAUCUGUAGCUGGUCUGAGAGGACGACCAGCCACACUGGGACUGAGACACGGCCCAGACUCCUACGGGAGGCAGCAGUGGGGAAUUUUGGACAAUGGGGGAAACCCUGAUCCAGCCAUGCCGCGUGCGGGAAGAAGGCCUUCGGGUUGUAAACCGCUUUUGUCAGGGAAGAAAUCCCUUGAGCUAAUACCUUGAGGGGAUGACGGUACCUGGAGAAUAAGCACCGGCUAACUACGUGCCAGCAGCCGCGGUAAUACGUAGGGUGCAAGCGUUAAUCGGAAUUACUGGGCGUAAAGCGUGCGCAGGCGGUUGCGCAAGACAGGUGUGAAAU